This 459-nucleotide ribosomal RNA is filed under the name uncultured bacterium. RNAcentral's name for it is "partial 16S ribosomal RNA". It matches the Rfam family "Bacterial small subunit ribosomal RNA", at positions 338 to 795 of the family's 1533-position model. The record is from RNAcentral.
CCUACGGGAGGCAGCAGUGAGGAAUAUUGUUCAAUGGGAGAGAUCCUGAACCAGCCAAGCCGCGUGAGGGAAGACGGCCCUAUGUGUUGUAAACCUCUUUUGUCGGAGCACAAAACCCGGGACGAGUCCCGGACUGCGUGUAUCCGCAGACAAAGCAUCGGCUAACUCCGUGCCAGCAGCCGCGGUAAUACGGAGGAUGCGAGCGUUAUCCGGAUUUAUUGUGUUUAAAGGGUGCGUAGGCGGUCUGUUAAGUACGCGGUAAAAUUGCGGGGCUCAACCCCGUCGAGCCGUUGAAACUGGCAGACUUGAGUGGGCGAGAGGUACGCGGAAUGCGCGGUGUAGCGGGGAAAUGCAUAGAUAUCGCGCAGAACUCCGAUUGCGAAGGCAGCGUACCGGCGCCAGACUGACGCUGAGGCACGAAAGCGUGGGGAUCGAACAGGAUUAGAUACCCCUGUAGUC